Molecule: ribosomal RNA, 181 nt
Filed under: uncultured bacterium
Lineage: Bacteria
Description: partial 16S ribosomal RNA
Rfam family: Bacterial small subunit ribosomal RNA
Source: RNAcentral
CAUGAAGUCGGAAUUGCUAGUAAUGGCAGGUCAGCAUACUGCCGUGAAUACGUUCCCGGGCCUUGUACACACCGCCCGUCACACCAUGAGAGUUGGAAAUACCCGAAGCCUGUGAGCUAACUUUUAGAGGCAGCAGUCGAAGGUAGAGCCAAUGAUUGGGGUGAAGUCGUAACAAGGUAUC